RNAcentral lists this ribosomal RNA (253 nucleotides) under uncultured bacterium. RNAcentral's name for it is "partial 16S ribosomal RNA". It matches the Rfam family "Bacterial small subunit ribosomal RNA", at positions 524 to 776 of the family's 1533-position model. The record is from RNAcentral.
UACGUAGGGUGCAAGCGUUGUCCGGAAUUAUUGGGCGUAAAGAGCUCGUAGGCGGUUUGUCGCGUCUGCUGUGAAAACCCGAGGCUCAACCUCGGGCCUGCAGUGGGUACGGGCAGACUAGAGUGCGGUAGGGGAGAUUGGAAUUCCUGGUGUAGCGGUGGAAUGCGCAGAUAUCUGGAGGAACACCGGUGGCGAAGGCGGCAUCCUGGACCGGCAUUGACGCUGAGGCGCGAAAGCCAGGGGAGCAAACGGG